RNAcentral lists this ribosomal RNA (377 nucleotides) under Paenibacillus sp. AMP14. RNAcentral describes it as "bacterial SSU rRNA". It matches the Rfam family "Bacterial small subunit ribosomal RNA", at positions 1032 to 1410 of the family's 1533-position model. Lineage: Bacteria; Bacillati; Bacillota; Bacilli; Caryophanales; Paenibacillaceae. The record is from RNAcentral.
AGACAGGUGGUGCAUGGUUGUCGUCAGCUCGUGUCGUGAGAUGUUGGGUUAAGUCCCGCAACGAGCGCAACCCUUAACUUUAGUUGCCAGCAUUAAGUUGGGCACUCUAGAGUGACUGCCGGUGACAAACCGGAGGAAGGUGGGGAUGACGUCAAAUCAUCAUGCCCCUUAUGACCUGGGCUACACACGUACUACAAUGGUCGGUACAACGGGAAGCGAAGCCGCGAGGUGGAGCCAAUCCUAAAAAGCCGAUCUCAGUUCGGAUUGCAGGCUGCAACUCGCCUGCAUGAAGUCGGAAUUGCUAGUAAUCGCGGAUCAGCAUGCCGCGGUGAAUACGUUCCCGGGUCUUGUACACACCGCCCGUCACACCACGAGAG